RNAcentral lists this small nuclear RNA (106 nucleotides) under Myotis lucifugus (little brown bat). Lineage: Eukaryota; Metazoa; Chordata; Mammalia; Chiroptera; Vespertilionidae. The record is from RNAcentral.
GUGCUUGCUCCGGCAGCUCAGACACUGACACUGGACCGACGCAGAGAAGGGUAGACAGGCCCCCGUGCAAGGAUGACACGGAAACUUGUGAAGGUUCCGUAUUUGA